Molecule: long non-coding RNA, 221 nt
Filed under: Hordeum vulgare
Lineage: Eukaryota; Viridiplantae; Streptophyta; Magnoliopsida; Poales; Poaceae
Description: long non-coding RNA (HVUL_LNC020219)
Source: RNAcentral
GGUCGGGCGAAGAGGAGCAGGACGGUGACCCCGAACGGGACGGCGGACCUGUCGAAGGAGGAGGUGAGGUGGACGACGGCGUCGUGCGCGAGGAGGACGAGGGAUGGUGAUGGGGAGAGAUCUGGAGACGGAUGAGAAUCGUGGGGGAAGUGGACGAUGUGCGGGGAUGGUCGCGGUUGUUUCUUUUCUAUUUUCCAGAUUUUUUUAUCGCGAGAACGAAA